CCUGGUGGAAAUUUUAUAUUAGGUCUAACCUGCUCAAUGAAUUAUUAAAUAGCCGCAGUAUUUUGACUGUGCGAAGGUAGCAUAAUCAUUUGUCUUUUAAUUGAAGGCUUGUAUGAAUGGUUGGAUGAGGGAAUUGCUUUCUUUAUAUUAUGUAUAUGAAUUUAAUUUUUAGGUUAAAAAGCUUAAAUUUUUAAAUGGGACGAGAAGACCCUAUAGAAUUUUAUUUGAAGUUUAAUUUUUUAAUAAUUGGUUAAAUAUUUUAUAAACUAUACUCCAAAUUUUGUUGGGGUGACAGUAAGAUUAAUCUAACUCUUAUAAUUAAUGUUUUAUUUAUUUAUAUGUAAAAGAUCCUAUUUUAUGGAUAUUUAGAUUAAAUUACCUUAGGGAUAACAGCGUUAUUUUUCUGGAGAGUUCUUAUCGAUAGAGGAGUUUGCGACCUCGAUGUUGGAUUAAAAUUAGAUUUAAGUG
Molecule: ribosomal RNA, 468 nt
Filed under: Euschistus irroratus
Lineage: Eukaryota; Metazoa; Arthropoda; Insecta; Hemiptera; Pentatomidae
Description: partial 16S ribosomal RNA
Rfam family: Bacterial large subunit ribosomal RNA
Source: RNAcentral